This 693-nucleotide ribosomal RNA is filed under the name Triticum aestivum (bread wheat). Its description in RNAcentral is "partial small subunit ribosomal RNA". The record is from RNAcentral. Lineage: Eukaryota; Viridiplantae; Streptophyta; Magnoliopsida; Poales; Poaceae.
AUGGGAUCCGUGGUGGGCACGGCGGCGAGCGGCGUGGGCACGCUGCUCGGCGGCGCCGUCGCCGCGCCCUUCAGGGCCAUCCUCGGCGCGUCCUGCGAGGGCGUCUGCUCGGGGACGUGGGACGUUGCCUGCUUCCUGGAGCACCUCUGCGCCGCCAGCCUGGCCAGGCUCUUCAUGGUCAUCGUCCUCACCUACGUCGUGCUCUUCUUCGCCUACCUCGUCUGCAAAGCCGGGAUCGUCCGCUGCGUCGCCAAGAACGCCUGCAAGGUCGCCGGCGCCGCGUGCUCCGGCUGCUGCCACGCACUGAAGGGAUCCUCGUGCUUCCUCUGGCGCAAGCUGCGGGACACCAAGCGCGUGUACCAUGGCCGCCGCCGCCGGCGGCAUCCGGACGUGGAGACGGGAGCGGGAGAUUGGGGCUCCGACGAGGAGGAGAGCGACGGCGAUGGUGGCCACGGUCAUGGUACAAGGAGGUGGGGCAGAGCUAGAGAGGGGUCGUCGUCGUCGUCGGUGAGGGAGAGGAGGAAGGACAGGCUGCGCCGGUCGCUGCGCCUCAGGAGACUCGUCUCGCACAAGGAGCAGUAUGCUACGGCGAGGAGCCAUGGGGCCGGAAGGCACCACCGCGGCAGGGGCGGGGUGCCGUCCACGUCGCUGCGUGUUGACGACGGGAGGAAGUUUAAGCGCGUCCGUAGAUAA